RNAcentral lists this ribosomal RNA (404 nucleotides) under uncultured soil bacterium. Its description in RNAcentral is "bacterial SSU rRNA". It matches the Rfam family "Bacterial small subunit ribosomal RNA", at positions 26 to 427 of the family's 1533-position model. The record is from RNAcentral.
AGAUUGAACGCUGGCGGCAGGCCUAACACAUGCAAGUCGAGCGGCAGCACGGGUACUUGUACCUGGUGGCGAGCGGCGGACGGGUGAGUAAUGCCUAGGAAUCUGCCUGAUAGUGGGGGAUAACGUUCGGAAACGGACGCUAAUACCGCAUACGUCCUACGGGAGAAAGUGGGGGAUCUUCGGACCUCACGCUAUCAGAUGAGCCUAGGUCGGAUUAGCUAGUUGGUAGGUAAAGGCCUACCAAGGCUACGAUCCGUAACUGGUCUGAGAGGAUGAUCAGUCACACUGGAACUGAGACACGGUCCAGACUCCUACGGGAGCAGCAGUGGGAAUAUUGGACAAGUGGGACGAAAGCCUAGAUCCAGCCAUGCCGCGUGUGUGAAGGAAGGUCGUUACGGAUUUAG